Molecule: ribosomal RNA, 468 nt
Filed under: uncultured bacterium
Lineage: Bacteria
Description: partial 16S ribosomal RNA
Rfam family: Bacterial small subunit ribosomal RNA
Source: RNAcentral
GACGAACGCUGGCGGCGUGCUUAACACAUGCAAGUCGAACGGAAAGGCCCUGCUUUUGUGGGGUGCUCGAGUGGCGAACGGGUGAGUAACACGUGAGUAACCUGCCCUUGACUUUGGGAUAACUUCAGGAAACUGGGGCUAAUACCGGAUAGGAGCUCCUGCUGCAUGGUGGGGGUUGGAAAGUUUCGGCGGUUGGGGAUGGACUCGCGGCUUAUCCGCUUGUUGGUGGGGUAGUGGCUUACCAAGGUUUUGACGGGUAGCCGGCCUGAGAGGGUGACCGGCCACAUUGGGACUGAGAUACGGCCCAGACUCCUACGGGAGGCAGCAGUGGGGAAUAUUGCACAAUGGGCGGAAGCCUGAUGCAGCAACGCCGCGUGCGGGAUGACGGCCUUCGGGUUGUAAACCGCUUUCGCCUGUGACGAAGCGUGAGUGACGGUAAUGGGUAAAGAAGCACCGGCUAACUACGUG